ACCUCGAUGGUGAAACUUGGUAAACACAGUAGAUUUAAAAUCUGCCGUUCCGAAAGGAACUUGGGGGUUCGAUUCCCCUUCGAGGUA
RNAcentral lists this transfer RNA (87 nucleotides) under Caudoviricetes sp. RNAcentral's name for it is "tRNA-Leu". It matches the Rfam family "tRNA". From Rfam's summary of the family: Transfer RNA (tRNA) molecules are approximately 80 nucleotides in length. Their secondary structure includes four short double-helical elements and three loops (D, anti-codon, and T loops). Lineage: Duplodnaviria; Heunggongvirae; Uroviricota; Caudoviricetes. The record is from RNAcentral.